RNAcentral lists this unclassified non-coding RNA (117 nucleotides) under uncultured Archaeorhizomyces. Its description in RNAcentral is "sequence contains ITS1". Lineage: Eukaryota; Fungi; Ascomycota; Archaeorhizomycetes; Archaeorhizomycetales; Archaeorhizomycetaceae. The record is from RNAcentral.
CUGAAUGGCCUUUUGGCCUUCAACCUUGUAAACAUGUGGAAGCAAGAUGUGCUUCGGCGCUUCGGCGUCGCUUUUAUGCCAAGAUCAGUUUUGUAGUCUGAAUCAAUAUCAAAAACA